CUAUGUACUACCCGUGGGUGGGAGCCUAGC
RNAcentral lists this non-coding RNA (30 nucleotides) under Rattus norvegicus (Norway rat). The record is from RNAcentral. Lineage: Eukaryota; Metazoa; Chordata; Mammalia; Rodentia; Muridae.